This 67-nucleotide ribosomal RNA is filed under the name uncultured Hygrocybe. Its description in RNAcentral is "partial 5.8S ribosomal RNA". It matches the Rfam family "5.8S ribosomal RNA", at positions 49 to 115 of the family's 154-position model. From Rfam's summary of the family: 5.8S ribosomal RNA (5.8S rRNA) is a component of the large subunit of the eukaryotic ribosome. Lineage: Eukaryota; Fungi; Basidiomycota; Agaricomycetes; Agaricales; Hygrophoraceae. The record is from RNAcentral.
CGAAAUGCGAUACGUAAUGUGAAUUGCAGAAUUCCGUGAAUCAUUGAAUCUUUGAACGCACCUUGCG